Molecule: ribosomal RNA, 450 nt
Filed under: uncultured Glomeromycotina
Lineage: Eukaryota; Fungi; Glomeromycota
Description: SSU rRNA
Rfam family: Eukaryotic small subunit ribosomal RNA
Source: RNAcentral
AGCAGCCGCGGUAAUUCCAGCUCCAAUAGCGUAUAUUAAAGUUGUUGCAGUUAAAAAGCUCGCAGUUGAAUUUCGGGAUUGGCGCAUCGGUCGUGCCUCACGGGGUAUGAACUGGUGCAGUCAAUUUCUCACCUUCUGGAGAACCGCGAUGUCCUUAAUUGGAUGCCGCGGGGAACCAGGACCUUUACUUUGAAAAAUUAGAGUGUUUAAAGCAGGCAUUUUUGCUUGAAUACAUUAGCAUGGAAUAAUAAAAUAGGACGGCAUGGUUCUAUUUUGUUGGUUUCUAGGACCACCGUAAUGAUUAAUAGGGAUAGUUAGGGGCAUUAGUAUUCAAUUGUCAGAGGUGAAAUUCUUGGAUUUUAUUGAAGACUAACUACUGCGAAAGCAUUUGCCAAGGAUGUUUUCAUUAAUCAAGAACGAAAGUUAGGGGAUCGAAGACGAUCAGAUACC